GGUCCCAUGGUCUAGUGGUUAGGACAUUGGACUCUGAAUCCAGUAACACGAGUUCAAAUCUCGGUGGGACCU
Molecule: transfer RNA, 72 nt
Filed under: Musa acuminata subsp. malaccensis (wild Malaysian banana)
Lineage: Eukaryota; Viridiplantae; Streptophyta; Magnoliopsida; Zingiberales; Musaceae
Rfam family: tRNA
About the family: Transfer RNA (tRNA) molecules are approximately 80 nucleotides in length. Their secondary structure includes four short double-helical elements and three loops (D, anti-codon, and T loops).
Source: Rfam by way of RNAcentral